AACGAACGCUGGCGGCGUGCCUAACACAUGCAAGUCGUGCGAGAAAGUUCCUUCGGGAGCGAGUAAAGCGGCGCACGGGUGAGUAACACGUAGGUAACCUGCCCCCCAGUCUGGAACAACUAGAGGAAACUCUAGCUAAUGCCGGAUGAGACCACGAUCCCUUCGGGGGUUGCGGCCAAAGAUGGCCUCUACUUGUAAGCUAUCGCUGAGGGAUGGGCCUGCGGGCCAUUAGCUUGUUGGUGAGGUAACGGCUCACCAAGGCUGUGAUGGCUAGCUGGUCUGAGAGGAUGACCAGCCACACUGGGACUGAGACACGGCCCAGACUCCUACGGGGAGGCAGCAGUGGGGAAUAUUGCGCAAUGGGCGAAAGCCUGACGCAGCGACGCCGCGUGGGUGAUGAAGGCCUUCGGUCGG
Molecule: ribosomal RNA, 414 nt
Filed under: uncultured bacterium
Lineage: Bacteria
Description: bacterial SSU rRNA
Rfam family: Bacterial small subunit ribosomal RNA
Source: RNAcentral